UGGGGAAUAUUGCACAAUGGGGGGAACCCUGAUGCAGCGACGCCGCGUGAGUGAAGAAGUAUUUCGGUAUGUAAAGCUCUAUCAGCAGGGAAGAAAAUGACGGUACCUGACUAAGAAGCCCCGGCUAACUACGUGCCAGCAGCCGCGGUAAUACGUAGGGGGCAAGCGUUAUCCGGAUUUACUGGGUGUAAAGGGAGCGUAGACGGUUAUGCAAGUCUGAAGUGAAAGCCCAAGGCUCAACCAUGGGACUGCUUUGGAAACUGUAAAACUGGAGUGCAGGAGAGGUAAGCGGAAUUCCUAGUGUAGCGGUGAAAUGCGUAGAUAUUAGGAGGAACACCAGUGGCGAAGGCGGCUUACUGGACUGUAACUGACGUUGAGGCUCGAAGGCGUGGGGAGCAAACAGG
RNAcentral lists this ribosomal RNA (404 nucleotides) under uncultured bacterium. Its description in RNAcentral is "bacterial SSU rRNA". It matches the Rfam family "Bacterial small subunit ribosomal RNA", at positions 355 to 776 of the family's 1533-position model. The record is from RNAcentral.